Molecule: ribosomal RNA, 322 nt
Filed under: uncultured Chloroflexota bacterium
Lineage: Bacteria; Bacillati; Chloroflexota
Description: bacterial SSU rRNA
Rfam family: Bacterial small subunit ribosomal RNA
Source: RNAcentral
GAUGAACGCUGGCGGCGUGCUUAAUACAUGCAAGUCGAACGGAGUAUGUAGUGAUAUAUACUGAGUGGCGAACGGGUGAGUAACGCGUUGGUGACCUGCCCCGAAGAGAGGGAUAACAGUUCGAAAGGACUGCUAAUACCGCAUGAGGUCUCAGGGAUUAGAUGCCCUGAGUCAAAAGGAGUAAUCCACUUUGGGAGGGACCUGCGUCCCAUCAGCUAGUUGGUAAGGUAACGGCUUACCAAGGCUUUGACGGGUAGGGGACCUGAGAGGGUGGCCCCCCACAAUGGAACUGAAACACGGUCCAUACACCUACGGGUGGCAG